Molecule: transfer RNA, 71 nt
Filed under: Parcubacteria group bacterium
Lineage: Bacteria
Description: tRNA-Met
Rfam family: tRNA
About the family: Transfer RNA (tRNA) molecules are approximately 80 nucleotides in length.
Source: RNAcentral
GGCCACGUAGUUCAGUGGUAGAACACCGCCCUCAUAAAGCGGAUGCAUAGGUUCGAUUCCUAUCGUGGCCA